Molecule: ribosomal RNA, 386 nt
Filed under: uncultured Synechococcus sp.
Lineage: Bacteria; Bacillati; Cyanobacteriota; Cyanophyceae; Synechococcales; Synechococcaceae
Description: bacterial SSU rRNA
Rfam family: Bacterial small subunit ribosomal RNA
Source: RNAcentral
UGCAAGUCGAACGAACCUUCGGGUUAGUGGCGGACGGGUGAGUAACGCGUGGGAAUCUGCCCUCAGGAGGGGGAUAACGGCCGGAAACGGCCGCUAAUACCCCAUAUGCCGAGAGGUGAAAUGAAUUUCGCCUGAGGAUGAGCCCGCGUCUGAUUAGCUAGUUGGUGAGGUAAGAGCUCACCAAGGCAUCGAUCAGUAGCUGGUCUGAGAGGAUGAUCAGCCACACUGGGACUGAGACACGGCCCAGACUCCUACGGGAGGCAGCAGUGGGGAAUUUUCCGCAAUGGGCGAAAGCCUGACGGAGCAACGCCGCGUGAGGGAUGAAGGCCUCUGGGCUGUAAACCUCUUUUAUCAAGGAAGAAGAUCUGACGGUACUUGAUGAAUAA